This 24-nucleotide non-coding RNA is filed under the name Callithrix jacchus (white-tufted-ear marmoset). Lineage: Eukaryota; Metazoa; Chordata; Mammalia; Primates; Cebidae. RNAcentral also lists the same sequence under 1 other name. The record is from RNAcentral.
UACUCUGGUUUCUCUUCAGAUCGU